Molecule: long non-coding RNA, 807 nt
Filed under: Spirodela polyrhiza (greater duckweed)
Lineage: Eukaryota; Viridiplantae; Streptophyta; Magnoliopsida; Alismatales; Araceae
Description: long non-coding RNA (SPOL_LNC000915)
Source: RNAcentral
GAUAAAUAAUAUUAGUAGCCAACCAUUUCAAAAUUUUUUUUUUUACCACUUUCAUUAUGUUAGGAUUUAAUCUUCUUUGUGGUUCUCUACUUAGUCUAGCUCCUUUCUCUAAAUAUAUAUUAUGCAUACACACAUUCAUAUCAAUGCCUCUAAGAUCAUUCAUUUUCUAGCUAAUAGCUUUCUUAUUUUUUCGAAUUACUUCUAUUAAUUCUUCCUCUUGCUCAUUAUUCAAAUCAGCUGCAAUAAUAACAAGGAAUGAGUUAUUUUCCUCUAGAAAUGCAUAUUUUAAAUUAGAAGGAAAAGGUUUUAGCUCUAAAUUCAUGUGAUCUUCUUCCUUCUUCUCUCUUAUAUUUAUGUUUUCAAUUUCCUUUAAUUCUUCUAUCACACAAUCAUCAAUAAUAUCUAGACCAUCAAAAUCAUCUAAAAGUUAUAUGGUAUGACAAUCAUACACUUGAGAUUUCUUAAGAUCAUUUAAUACCUCAAAGAUUUUAAUUUCUACUGAUUGAUCUCCACAUAAAAUUUUUGCAAUACCUGUGGGGAAAUCAAUAUUCAUCUUUGCUGUAUGCAAUAAUGGUUUCCCUAAGAUGAUUGGGGUGUCAUAAAAUUGUCCAUUAAAAUCUAUUUCCAACACUACAAAAUCAGCUGAAAAUUUACAUCCUUUCACUGUUACUAUCACAUUUUCUAAAAUACCUUUAAGAUUUUUAAUUGAUCUAUUAGCAAAUUGUAAUGUGAUAGUAGAUGGUUUAAGAUUAGAAAUAUUAAAUUUAUCAUAAAUACUUGCAAGUAAUAAAUUAAUAUUAACACCGG